AUUGAACGCUGGCGGCAGGCUUAACACAUGCAAGUCGAGCGGGGUGAUGGUGCUUGCACUAUCACUUAGCGGCGGACGGGUGAGUAAUGCUUAGGAAUCUGCCUAUUAGUGGGGGACAACAUCUCGAAAGGGAUGCUAAUACCGCAUACGUCCUACGGGAGAAAGCAGGGGAUCACUUGUGACCUUGCGCUAAUAGAUGAGCCUAAGUCGGAUUAGCUAGUUGGUGGGGUAAAGGCCUACCAAGGCGACGAUCUGUAGCGGGUCUGAGAGGAUGAUCCGCCACGCUGGGACUGCGACGCGGCCCAGACUCCUACGGGGGGCAGCAGUGGUGAAUAUUGGACAAUGGGGGGAACCCUGAUCCAGCCAUGCCGCGUGUGUGAAGGAGGCCUUAUGGUUGUAAAGCACUUUAAGCGAGGAGGAGGCUCUUUUGGUUAAUACCCAAGAUGAGUGGACGUUACUCGCAGAAUAAGCACCGGCUAACUCUGUGCCAGCAGCCGCCGUAA
RNAcentral lists this ribosomal RNA (503 nucleotides) under uncultured bacterium. Its description in RNAcentral is "partial 16S ribosomal RNA". It matches the Rfam family "Bacterial small subunit ribosomal RNA", at positions 30 to 523 of the family's 1533-position model. The record is from RNAcentral.